Molecule: ribosomal RNA, 355 nt
Filed under: uncultured bacterium
Lineage: Bacteria
Description: bacterial SSU rRNA
Rfam family: Bacterial small subunit ribosomal RNA
Source: RNAcentral
GUAUGGUGCAAGCGUUAUCCGGAUUUACUGGGUGUAAAGGGAGCGUAGACGGUGUGGCAAGUCUGAUGUGAAAGGCAUGGGCUCAACCUGGGAACUGCAUCUGAUACUGGCAAGCUUGAGUCUCGUAGAGGGGGGUAGAAUUCCAGGUGUAGCGGUGAAAUGCGUAGAUAUACGGAGGAACACCAGUGGCGAAGGCGGCCUGCUGGACAUUAACUGACGCUGAGGCGCGAAAGCGUGGGGAGCAAACAGGAUUAGAUACCCUGGUAGUCCACGCCGUAAACGAUGGAUACUAGGUGUGCGGGGACUGACCCCCUGCGUGCCGCAGUUAACACAAUAAGUAUUCCACCUGGGGAGU